AGACAGUCCUAGCAAAAUUCUAGCUUGAGAAAUUGCUCUUUGCUAUUUUUGACCAUUUUAAAUCACAGCAAGGUACUUAAUUGUUACCCAGAAAUGAUUUGAUAUUGAGAUAAAACGGCUGCAUUGGACCUUUAAGCACUUGUGAGGGAGAUCCCCUAGAGCUUAUAGUCUACGAGCCUACAGCGACUUCAGAAAAACAAUCAAGUAUCUUCCUCAGUGAGUCAUUGAAAGUAGUGAGAAGUUAGUCACCCAUAUUCAGAAGUGGUUUCAGGACAGGUUCACUGCAGAGGUGUUGAAGAGAUGACAGUAAUUCAAGUAAGAAUGACAGCUACUGCACAUUGUUGUCACUCAUUUUAAGGGGAGGUGAGUACGGACAAGAUGAACUCUAUCAAAGACAGUGAGAAGAUGGGCAUCUUCAAGCAGACAGAAGGUUGCUCAAGAAGUUCUGGACAACUGCUGGAGCCUGGGAGAUAUCUGGUGAUGUUGACGAUAGCUGCAGCCUACUUCCUACACUCUCUGAUCCAGCAGUAGUUUAUACUGUAGAUCUAGGUUUGCAUCCCAAAUGGCACCCUAUUCCCCAUAUAGUGCACUACUUCUGACCAGAGACUUUUAAAACAUUUUAUUUUUUAUUUCACCUUUAUUUAACCAGGUUUGCCAGUUGAGAACAAGUUCUCAUUUACAACUGCGACCUGGCCAAGUUAAAGCAAAGCAGUGCGACACAAACAACACGGAUUUACACAUGGAAUAAACAAAUGUACAGUCAAUAACACAAUAGAAAAAAUCUAUAUACAGUGUGUGCAAAUGAGGUAAGAUUAGGGAGGUAAGGCAAUAAAUAGGCCGUAGUGGCGAAGUCAUUACAAUUUAGCAAUUAAACACUGGAGUGAUAGAUGUGCAGAAUGAAUGUGCAAGUAGAGAUACUGGGGUGCAAAGGAGCCAAAAAAUAAAUAAAAAAAUAACAAUAUGGGGAUGAGGUAGUUGGAUGGGCUAUUUACAGAUGGCCUAUGUACAGGUGCAAUGAUCUGUGAGCUGCUCUGACAGCUGAUGCUUAAAGUUAGUGAGGAAGAUAUGAGUCUCCAGCUUCAGUGAUUUUUGCAACUCAUUCCAGUCAUUGGCAGCAGAGAACUGGAAGGAAAGGCGGCCAAAGAAGGAAUUGACAUUGGGGGUGACCAGUGAAAUAUACCUGCUGGAGCGCGUGCUAUGGGUGGGUGCUGCUAUGGUGACCAGUGAGUUGAGAUAAGGCGGGGUUUUACCUAGCAAAGACUUGGGCUUUGGUCAAAAGUAGUGCACUGUAUAGGGAAUAGGGUGCCAUUUGGGCAUUGCCCUAACCCUCACUCUGAAUCAACACUGGAACUGUCAAAUAUUCCUAUUUUCUAAACUGCAAUGAAGUCUAUAUUUUGAUGAUCGUUUUGUCAUUGAUCUGAAUGGUGUGGGUUUGAAUUUGCUCUUGAAGCAAGCAUUUUGUUGUUUAUUCGUUUUUUAUCCUAGAUAUAAAAAAUAUAUAUACUUUAGAUGCCAACUAAAUGCCAACUUCCUGUAUUAUAUUGUAAAUAUUCCACGUUUGGGUAAAUAUGUAUACUGUUUCAGCCCAAUAUCCACAACAUCAAAGCAAACGUAAUAGAGCAACAAUUGUUCAUUGUCCUUCCCUGUCCAAUUACUGUAUCAAAAAUGCAAUUUGAAGGAAAGAGAUGCUGUAAAUGUUUGCAAAUGUGUCCCAUUGUAUGUAUGCAUUGUUUUCUCAUGCAUUAAUGUAUUAAACUGCCACUUUCCCA
Molecule: long non-coding RNA, 1769 nt
Filed under: Salmo salar (Atlantic salmon)
Lineage: Eukaryota; Metazoa; Chordata; Actinopteri; Salmoniformes; Salmonidae
Description: lncRNA (ENSSSAG00000094099.1)
Source: RNAcentral